Molecule: long non-coding RNA, 603 nt
Filed under: Oryctolagus cuniculus (rabbit)
Lineage: Eukaryota; Metazoa; Chordata; Mammalia; Lagomorpha; Leporidae
Description: lncRNA (ENSOCUG00000039443.1)
Source: RNAcentral
CUUUAGAGCUCAUGAUAUAUGCUUCUAAUCAUGUUACUAAAAUAAUAAGUUUAUAUUUUACUUAACUAUAAUCUCGCUGUUGAUAGGCUUUAAGACAGCCUUAAGAUUUCACUGUUAGAAAUUCUGCAGAAAAUCUGGUGUGAUCUUUCAGUCAUGAAUUUGGAAUACCAUGCUGACUUAUUUACUUAUCCAAGAUUGUGUAAAUUUAUGGGCAACCUGUUACCAUUUUGAAUUCUGAGAUGGUUGAAUCAAUUUGUAUGUGGUCAUAGGAAUAUGAGGGCAUUGGUUUCAUCUGUGUCAUCACCAGCACUGACUGUUGGAAAUGAAAAUAAGUUUCUGAAUGUUAUGACAAAUAUGGAUAAGAGAGAUCUUCAGUUCUGCAGAACUCAUCUUCUCUGGAAGUAGCCUGGAUUUGAGAGCUGGAUGGAAGGCAGGCAUUGUAGUGAUCAUGGUGAAAAUGUGGCUGCAACUGACACAAGUUGGUCUAAACUGGGACUCCCAAAUAGAGGCCCAGAUGACCUGAUAAAGAGAAUAAAUAUAGAUAUGCAUACAGUAGUCAGAAUAACUCCAGUGGAAAUUACCCUAAAGUUCCAAAGUCUCUAA